GCUCGCCGGACAGACUCCCAGGACCUGCCUUGGUACCCCGCCGUGCCACGCCCCCCUUGAUAGCUGCCAAUUGGGCAAGAGCGCUCGGAACCAAGGGCAGAACAGCCCACCUACAGCAAAAGCAUACGGCUGAGGGGAAAUGAGCCUGCUUCAGACUGUUCACAGCAGCAGACUAUUUGCCUCAUGCAGGCUCUGAGAACAUGCACUUUGCCAGCUGCAAAUAAUUUAAUUCUGGGGACUCUGGAGAGGGAAUAAAUGCCAACGCUGAGAUGGGUGGAGGCACUCCCAAAGAAGGCUACUGCUUCUCUCCCUGGCCCCUUCCCCAUCAAGCUACUGCUGGUUCUUCCUGCUGUUGUGUUUGCUGUUGCUGGUUUGCUGGAUAGCCUGAUGAUAAAGAUUUGACUUGCUCAAAAGAAAUAUGUCUUCAAACAGCAGGAACUAGUCUGAAGAGACAUGUGCCACCACCACCCCUUUUCAACUAACCUUUUUCUCCUACCUGGUGUUAGAAAGGAUUAGGGUUGGAAAAGAGGUCUAAAAACCCAAAUAAGAUAGCUAAAAAUAAGUAUACCAACAAUGUAUUUACCCCUUGGCUCUAUCGGGGAUUGAACCUGCAGUUUUUAUGCUGGACAAGCACUCUAACACUGAGUUAUAGGCCCAUCCCUCAUCAUUUUUCCAGAGGAAACUCAAGGCUUCUAUACUCACACUUCCCAAUUCCAAAAUAAGACAGGAACACACAAAACAAAAUCUAAUAAAUGUUGCAAGGAAAACCAC
Long non-coding RNA from Meriones unguiculatus (Mongolian gerbil), 771 nucleotides. RefSeq lists it as uncharacterized. The record is from RefSeq and is a predicted model, not a curated record. Lineage: Eukaryota; Metazoa; Chordata; Mammalia; Rodentia; Muridae. The transcript has 2 exons.